UACGUAGGGUGCAAGCGUUGUCCGGAAUUAUUGGGCGUAAAGAGCUCGUAGGCGGUUUGUCGCGUCUGCCGUGAAAGUCCGGGGCUCAACUCCGGAUCUGCGGUGGGUACGGGCAGACUAGAGUGCGGUAGGGGAGACUGGAAUUCCUGGUGUAGCAGUGAAAUGCGUAGAUAUCAGGAGGAACACCGAUGGCGAAGGCAGCUCGCUGGGACGGUACUGACGCUGAGGCGCGAAAGCGUGGGGAGCAAACAGG
This 253-nucleotide ribosomal RNA is filed under the name uncultured bacterium. RNAcentral describes it as "partial 16S ribosomal RNA". It matches the Rfam family "Bacterial small subunit ribosomal RNA", at positions 524 to 776 of the family's 1533-position model. The record is from RNAcentral.